AAAGUUUUAAGUUUCGAAAACGUCGAUGUGACGCCCUUUUCUUAUAUGCGUAAUUAUUUACUCUGAUUAUAUGCUAAUAAUUUGGGGUAGAAAAAGGGGUGUUACAUUAGUGGUAUCAGAGCAUGGUCGACCAGUUGGUCAAUAGUCACUAAUGUGUUACAUUAGUAGCAGGUCGGUCCGUCCGGCCAGGUUGUUUAAUUAU
This 202-nucleotide long non-coding RNA is filed under the name Lathyrus oleraceus (garden pea). RNAcentral's name for it is "Pisum sativum (pea) long non-coding RNA (PSAT_LNC036841)". The record is from RNAcentral. Lineage: Eukaryota; Viridiplantae; Streptophyta; Magnoliopsida; Fabales; Fabaceae.